UGAAUACGAGACGCUAAGGCGUCGAAGUAGUGUAUGUCAUACUUCCAAGAAAAGCUUGCACUGUCAUAGAUAAAAAACGCCUGUACCAUAACCGACACAGGUGGGUAGGUAGAGUAUACUAAGGGGCGCGAGAUAACUCUCUCUAAGGAACUCGGCAAAAUAACUCCGUAACUUCGGGAGAAGGAGUGCCUUAUUCUUAAGGUUGCAAUAACAAGAUCCAAGCAACUGUUUAUCAAAAACACAGGUCUCCGCUAAGUCGUAAGACGAUGUAUGGGGGCUGACGCCUGCCCAGUGCCAGAAGGUUAAAGAAGCUGGUUAGCAUUUGCGAAGCUAGUAACUGAAGCCCUGGUGAACGGCGGCCGUAACAAUAACGGUCCUAAGGUAGCGAAAUUCCUUGUCGGGUAAGUUCCGACCCGCACGAAAGGCGUAAUGAUUUGGAUACUGUCUCGGAGAGGGGCUCGGUGAAAUAGACUUGUCUGUGAAGAUGCGGACUACCUGCACCAGGACAGAAAGACCCUAUGAAGCUUUACUGUAACUUGAAAUUGAAAUUGGACUUUAUUCGCGCAGUAUAGGUGGGAGGCGUUGAUUAUAAUCUUGCGGGAUUAUUGGAGCCAUUAGUGAGAUACCACUCUUGUAAUGUUAGAUUUCUAACUUUGAAUCAUUAUCUGGUCAAAGAACAGUUUCAGGCGGGCAGUUUGACUGGGGCGGUCGCCUCCUAAACGGUAACGGAGGCGUACAAAGGUUUCCUCUGAACGGUUAGAAAUCGUAUCUAGAGUGUAAAGGCAUAAGGAAGCUUGACUGUGAGACCUACAAGUCGAGCAGGGACGAAAGUCGGUCUUAGUGAUCUGACGGUACUGAGUGGAAAGGCCGUCACUCAACGGAUAAAAGUUACUCUAGGAUAACAGGCUGAUCUCCCCCAAGAGUUCACAUCGACGGGGAGGUUUGGCACCUGAUGUCGGCUCAUCGCAUCCUGGGGCGGUAGUACGUCCCAAGGGUUGGGCUGUUCGCCCAUGAAAGCGGUACGCGAGCUGGGUUCAGAACGUCGUGAGACAGUUCGGUCCAUAUCCGGUGUAGGCGUUAGAAUAUUGAGAGGAGCCUUCUUUAGUACGAGAGGACCGAGAAGGACAUACCUCUGGUGUACCAGUUAUCGUGCCAACGGUAAACGCUGGGUAGCUAUGUAUGGAGUGGAUAACCGCUGAAAGCAUCUAAGUGGGAAGCCCACCUCAAGAUAAGUAUUCUCA
RNAcentral lists this ribosomal RNA (1241 nucleotides) under metagenome. RNAcentral describes it as "bacterial LSU rRNA". It matches the Rfam family "Bacterial large subunit ribosomal RNA", at positions 1564 to 2816 of the family's 2925-position model. The record is from RNAcentral.